Triticum aestivum (bread wheat) is the source of this 136-nucleotide non-coding RNA. The record is from Rfam. Lineage: Eukaryota; Viridiplantae; Streptophyta; Magnoliopsida; Poales; Poaceae.
UGUGUACUCCCUCCGUUCCAAAAUACUUGACUUCCAUUUGUCCAAAAAUCGAUGUACCUAUAUACUAAAACAUGUCUAGAUACAUAUAUAUUUUGACAAAUAGAAGGCAUGUAUUGUGCAACGGAGGGAGUAGAAU